GAUGAACGCUGGCGGCGUGCCUAAUACAUGCAAGUCGAGCGAACAGACGAGGAGCUUGCUCCUCUGACGUUAGCGGCGGACGGGUGAGGAACACGUGGAUAACCUACCUAUAAGACUGGGAUAACUUCGGGAAACCGGAGCUAAUACCGGAUAAUAUAUUGAACCGCAUGGUUCAAUAGUGAAAGACGGUUUUGCUGUCACUUAUAGAUGGAUCCGCGCCGCAUUAGCUAGUUGGUAAGGUAACGGCUUACCAAGGCAACGAUGCGUAGCCGACCUGAGAGGGUGAUCGGCCACACUGGAACUGAGACACGGUCCAGACUCCUACGGGAGGCAGCAGUAGGGAAUCUUCCGCAAUGGGCGAAAGCCUGACGGAGCAACGCCGCGUGAGUGAUGAAGGUCUUCGGAUCGUAAAACUCUGUUAUUAGGGAAGAACAAAUGUGUAAGUAGCUAUGCACGUCUUGACGGUACCUAAUCAGAAAGCCACGGCUAACUACGUG
This 497-nucleotide ribosomal RNA is filed under the name uncultured bacterium. RNAcentral describes it as "partial 16S ribosomal RNA". It matches the Rfam family "Bacterial small subunit ribosomal RNA", at positions 28 to 507 of the family's 1533-position model. The record is from RNAcentral.